UACAGGGGGGGCAAGCGUUGUUCGGAAUUACUGGGCGUAAAGGGCUCGUAGGCGGCCAAUUAAGUCCGACGUGAAAUCCCCAGGCUUAACCUGGGAACUGCGUCGGAUACUGAUUGGCUUGAAUCCGGGAGAGGGAUGCGGAAUUCCAGGUGUAGCGGUGAAAUUCGUAGAUAUCGGGAGGAACACCAGUGGCGAAGGCGGCGACCUGGACAGAUAUUGACGCUGAGGUGCGAAAGCGUGGGGAGCAAACAGG
This 253-nucleotide ribosomal RNA is filed under the name uncultured bacterium. RNAcentral's name for it is "partial 16S ribosomal RNA". It matches the Rfam family "Bacterial small subunit ribosomal RNA", at positions 524 to 776 of the family's 1533-position model. The record is from RNAcentral.